CCGCGACGCCGCCACUAGCAUCGACACGCCCCUGGCCAAACCAAGCUGUGGAAUCGGCUUGGUUGCCAGCGCGGUGCCGCGCUCCGUCUGCUGCUCCCCAAUGGCGACCCCGCCUCCUCGUCGACCACGAGCCCCAGCUCGAGCUCCUGGUGGUUAUGUGGUGUUAGUUGCUGCUGCGGUGGUGAUGGGGUACUGCAGUACUGCUGCUCUGGUGCUUACUUCAGCUGCGACCCCGACAUUGGCGGAACGGUGCCGUAGGCGAACCCCGGCGUCCUCUGCCUUGCCUGCCUCCUCUACAGGACACUUCGCAGAUCUCCCAGGCCUCCCUCGAUGAGAACCUCCUCAGCCCUCGUCAUCCCUCCCCCCCGCGCGAUCAGAGAUUCUCCUUGCAUGAUGACUUGUCGAAGAGGAUGUCUUCAUUUCCAGCCAAUUCAGCUUCUUCUGUGCGUGAUGAAUCUCAGUUGCAAAUGGCAAAAACUUCAAGCAAAGCUAUCCUUCGGUGGAACCCCUCUCUUCCAGAUAGAAAAUAUUAAUGAGGAUGUUGAGCGCAAAUUUCAGCAUGUUGCAAGUUCAGUGCAUAAGAUGGGAAUGGUAUUAGACUCUGUUCAAAAUGAUGUUAUGCAGUUAAACAGAGCCAUGAAGGAGGCACCACUAGAUUCAGGUAGCAUACAGAAAAAGUUUGUGCUUGUAGAGACCUCUCCAGCAAAUUCUUAAGGGACAAGACGAUCUCAAGGCGCUCCUUGAAGGCAGCACAAAAAGCAAUCCUGACCAGAUGACAGCUCUGAACAACCACACCAGCAAACUAGAUGAGAUAUUAUCGACACUUUCAAUGAUUCAAUCCUGAAGCAAGUGCAGGAAGAUUUGAGGCAACUGAAGGGUGACAUCUUCAGAAUAUUUACAAAAGAGAUGGAGGGGAUUGUUAGAGCUAUCAGUUCUCUCAAUAGUUGGCCUGAUGCAAUGCAAGCACCGACAGCAUGUGUCCUUUUUACCCAACUGAUUAAAUGCACAAGUAUUGCAGCAUUCCCCUCUUACUCUUUUUUUCUUUGCUUUGCUGAAGUUUCCUUUAUUUUUAAAAUUUGCUAUUUAUCUGUAAGACGGUUUCCUUGUUGCACAGCCGGUUCAUUGGUGAGAGUAGCUUACCUGUUGUGCUUUAACAGGUCCGCAGAUUUUAUGCCCGGUUAUCCUUUAAUUUUCCCCCCUUUGUUGCUGCAUGUAUACUAGUUUUUCAUUUUAUCCAAUCUGGUAGAAAGAGCCGCAGGGAUUAUUAUCCAGGAGGUGCUUGUACCCCUUUCCAGAGCCCGUUUUUUACAUAUCAUACAGUACGAUUUGGUGUGCACCUGGUGAAUUGCUGCUAAAAUCAAUUCUGUAGCUUUAGCCUACCUGCUAUUACCUCUGUUUACUUGGCUAAAACAUGCUUUUUGGUAGUAUAAUUUUCAUCUCCGUUUUGCUGAAUCAUUAUCACUACUCUCAAGGUACAAUGCUAAAUACUCAAGGUGAUGUUGAUCACUGAUGUCUUACCAUCUCAGUUGUCUGUGUUCAACUGAAGGUGAUGCUGAUCAGUGAUGUUCGAAGUCGAAAUAUGGUGAUGAUUUUGACAGUAUACAAACCGAGAGUGUCAUAAUUUUCUUCUCCGUUUUGCUCUGUAAGACAUAGUUAGAUAUUAUGUUGAACGCAACAAAGUGCAUUGGAUUCUUGUAUGACAGUAUAUAUGUUGGUACUGUGUGUUCUUAUUCAUGUAUGACAGUAUGUGCUCAUUCUUGUAUGA
Lolium rigidum is the source of this 1765-nucleotide RNA transcript. RefSeq lists it as uncharacterized. NCBI's taxonomy places the organism in Eukaryota, Viridiplantae, Streptophyta, Magnoliopsida, Poales, Poaceae. The transcript has 7 exons. The record is from RefSeq and is a predicted model, not a curated record.